This 496-nucleotide ribosomal RNA is filed under the name uncultured bacterium. Its description in RNAcentral is "partial 16S ribosomal RNA". It matches the Rfam family "Bacterial small subunit ribosomal RNA", at positions 29 to 507 of the family's 1533-position model. The record is from RNAcentral.
AUGCACGCUGGCGGCGUGCCUAAUCCCUGCCAGUCGAGCGAACGGACGAGAAGCUUGCUUCUCUGAUGUUAGCGGCGGACGGGUGAGUAACACGUGGAUAACCUACCUAUAAGACUGGGAUAACUUCGGGAAACCGGAGCUAAUACCGGAUAAUAUUUUGAACCGCAUGGUUCAAAAGUGAAAGACGGUCUUGCUGUCACUUAUAGAUGGAUCCGCGCUGCAUUAGCUAGUUGGUAAGGUAACGGCUUACCAAGGCAACGAUGCAUAGCCGACCUGAGAGGGUGAUCGGCCACACUGGAACUGAGACACGGUCCAGACUCCUACGGGAGGCAGCAGUAGGGAAUCUUCCGCAAUGGGCGAAAGCCUGACGGAGCAACGCCGCGUGAGUGAUGAAGGUCUUCGGAUCGUAAAACUCUGUUAUUAGGGAAGAACAUAUGUGUAAGUAACUGUGCACAUCUUGACGGUACCUAAUCAGAAAGCCACGGCUAACUACGUG